UGUCGUCAGCUCGUGUUGUGAAAUGUUGGGUUAAGUCCCGCAACGAGCGCAACCCUUAUCCUUUGUUGCCAGCGGUCCGGCCGGGAACUCAAAGGAGACUGCCAGUGAUAAACUGGAGGAAGGUGGGGAUGACGUCAAGUCAUCAUGGCCCUUACGACCAGGGCUACACACGUGCUACAAUGGCGCAUACAAAGAGAAGCGACCUCGCGAGAGCAAGCGGACCUCAUAAAGUGCGUCGUAGUCCGGAUUGGAGUCUGCAACUCGACUCCAUGAAGUCGGAAUCGCUAGUAAUCGUGGAUCAGAAUGCCACGGUGAAUACGUUCCCGGGCCUUGUACACACCGCCCGUCACACCAUGGGAGUGGGUUGCA
RNAcentral lists this ribosomal RNA (369 nucleotides) under Escherichia coli. Its description in RNAcentral is "bacterial SSU rRNA". It matches the Rfam family "Bacterial small subunit ribosomal RNA", at positions 1050 to 1419 of the family's 1533-position model. The record is from RNAcentral. Lineage: Bacteria; Pseudomonadati; Pseudomonadota; Gammaproteobacteria; Enterobacterales; Enterobacteriaceae.